This is a long non-coding RNA of Hydractinia symbiolongicarpus, 4529 nucleotides long. RefSeq lists it as uncharacterized. The record is from RefSeq and is a predicted model, not a curated record. Lineage: Eukaryota; Metazoa; Cnidaria; Hydrozoa; Anthoathecata; Hydractiniidae. The transcript is spliced from 7 exons.
GUAGUAUCUAUGCAAAGAAUCAAGUAGUUAAUUUGGACAUACUUCACACAAGAAUGUAGUAAGUAUAGAUUGAACUUGCACAAUAAUUCUAUCAUCAGGCAUCAAGUAUAUAAAAUGUCCACGCGACUUCAGAUGCCAGCCUUAUUUAUAUACACGUUACUUGACUGGGAAAAGCGCAAUAUGAAACAGCUGAAAAACUUAACAAAGAAAUAAAAAACUCUAGUACUGGUAUAUAUUUCGUCUAAAAGACAGCCAAAUGUUUUUAAUAAAAUCCUACGGAACAAUAGACAGAAAUUUCUGUUUAUUCUAAACUUUUUUAAGUUUUAAAGUUAAUGUUUGAUAUUUUACUUGUUUUACGUUGUUUCAUAAAAAUGUUAACACAAGAACAUGUAAGGAAACUUGAAACUCCAGCUCUCCUUUAAAUCCCUACGGUGGUAGGCUGUUACUACUAAACAACUGUUAUGCAACAAUAUAGAAUUUUUGCAAAGGCAAGAAAAUGUUGUCUAUAUUUCAUACGGAAGGAGAUAACAAGCGUUUACCUGGGAAUGACGUCAAACAAUGCAUCAAACAGUCUGGAAAUGAGAACACGAGUUCAAAACCCGACAGAAAGUAAAAGAAAAUAGUAUGAAAAAUGCAAUGUGCUAAAAGUUAUCAAACCACUAAAGAGAAAAACCUCCAAAGCGCGUCUACAUGAAAGAUCCUUAUGGGAGGAUAAUUUCACGACAAAAGCUGACUGUAAACAUGGAUUAGCAAAAUGAAUAGUUAUUGACGUAACAGGAAUGGUUCUUAUAUAAAGCUGUAAUUAAGAAUGUGAUUAUAAACAAACAGUUGCCAUGACAGGCAUACUAUUUACUGGUUUCUCUGGAAAACAGGUGAUGAUAACCCUCUGAAAUAAAAGAAAACAAAAAUUUAUCAAAAGGUUUAAUACAACGAGAAGUAAUCAGAUAUAAAAUCAAAUAGGAUAGGUCAAAGUUGUUGCUUUGUUAUGGUUGCUUAAUCAAGUUUAAUCAUCAGGAGAUAAUAACUUUGUCACAAUUUAACUGUCUGAUGACCAAAGCAAAGGCAAGUUUUUAUCAAUCAAAAUAGCAGUUACUGGCUUAAAAUACUGAUGGUUCCUGAAAAGAAGAAGUCAAUACCUUUAACACUGUUAACUAUGUUAUAGUUUGUGUUGUUGCUGUUUCAUCUGCAUGAGUGUGAAGACAUAGAUCCAUCCCCAGAUACAUACAAAGAAGCGUAAUUUCUGUGAAAUUUCAAUGGCCAUUUAUAUUGUUAGACACAAGAAUAACGAAAAUAAAAUUGUAGAGUUCUUGUUUAAAUACAUGAUCAGCUUUUAGUUUCCUUUAUUUAAAAAAUUGCUACAAAAAUGUUGAAGAAAUUGGAACAUAAACAUUUACCUGAUGAUGAUAAUGAUAAGCAUGCAUUAUUUGUCUCCGACACCUAUUAAAACAAUAACAUAAAGAUCAAUGUGGAGGAGUGUACAACCAUUCUGCAUAAAAUAAAACAAUGGUAAUCCUUUCUAAGUGCUUAGGAUCGUGAUAGGGUGUUCACCAGCAUGUAAAUGGCUUGAUUUCUAUGUAAAAGAAUGUAUUUACAAAAAUAAUCUUUUGGUUUCUUUUGUUUUUUUUUUCUUAAUAAAAUUUAUACACUUUGUAGAGUUAGAAAUGUUAAAAAUUUAGAAGAAACAUAGUUUAAAAACGUCCACAUCAGCUUUCAAAAUUGAAAAUGCUUGUACACAAUACUUGUGCAACUCAUAAUAAGAUGCUUUAAUCAAGAGUGUGCAUCCCAUAAAUACAAAGAAAUAUCUAUUAACUGAGAGAAAUUUAUGUAAAAUUCAUGCUAAAUCUAAAAAAGUAAAAAAUUAGCCCUUGAAAUAUUGCAAGAUAUACCUGUUUAAAUUUUUAAGCGCAUAAUUUUUCUUGCAAGAUUACAGUUUCAGUGCUCAACCAAAGAAGUAUUUUCAACACCCUGUGUUUUAACAAAUACUUUAUAAGUCUAUCUGACAAGCUCGAAAUAAAAAAAAAGAAUCAGCUAAAUUUUAAAAAGAUAAAAAACCUAGUUCUAGCAAUUUUGAAUGAACAUAUUCCUAAACAUAAAUCAAAGAAGGUAAUUAAGUCUUCUUUUUUAACAAUAUGAUUCUAUCUGGAUUAUUAUAGCAAUAUGCAUAUUUUAAACAAAAGUAGAUAUAAUUUGCCUCCACUUCCAUACAUAAAUCAUGUAAAACAAUAAACAAAAAAUAUGUACGACAAUGCUUUUCGUAGUGAGCUAUUUAUCAGACUAUAUUAAACUUAAAAAACAGUCACACAUAGCUACUUCUUCUACCUACAAUAAAUGUCUUCAUUUCUUGAUUGGAACUUAUAGGUUUUCAACACCAAAUUUCCCUUAAGCAAGCUCCUUUCACAGAAUCAAGUUUUGCAAAUUACCCAUUGAUGCAAGUUUCUGGAUGUAUUCAGCUCUCUGAAUACAUGAACAAAAAGAUUUUAAGAUGGUCCUUGUCAUACAAACUUAUAAUUACACAGUGUAUUUAGCCCUAUAUUUUUUUUCAAAAAAAAAGUGGUUCCCGCUCAUGAGUUUAUGUUUUUUUUUCAGUGAAAAAAAGUUGCAGCCAGCACAAUGAUUUUUCCGCACUACUCCCAAACCGUGCUAUCAAAAUUUUGCACUGUGUAAACUGAGGUGAAAAUCAGACAGCGGUCAUGCUGCAUACAAAACGUGCUUAGGAAGUAUUUUAGACAGUUUUUUAGUAAAGGAUAAAAGUAUGAUUGUUAAAUAAUACCAAUAAGAGUUGGCAUGAAACAAGUACAAUAUCACCAUUUUUUAAGCCAACUGCAAUGUAAAUAUAAACUCUUCAAAAACCUUAUGCUUCAUUUAAUGGCUUUUUAUAUAUCUUAGGGAGUGCAUAUGUGUCUGUUAUAUUUUUAUGUUUAACCAGUGACAAUGGUAAAUUUUAUUUCUCUGCUAUUAAAGCUCUAUGAUCCGGGAAACAAUGUGGUUUUUUAGGUGAAGGUCAGUGUAUUUUUAAGGCAGUCUGGGAUUCCUAGGUUACUAUUUAUACUGCUGGCAAGGUUUAUGAAAUCCAGUUUUUAUUAUUUUUUCCCACUUCUGCACCAAUAGAAUACUUACUAGUAUAAAAUAUGGAGGUUUGGUUGAUUCUUCAUUUUUUUUCAUAUUCAAAUAACAUAAAGCUGUUUUUGCUUUUACCAAAAACCAUGUUAACAAAGUCUUUAUGUCAUCUUUACUUGCCAUUCAGUUAAAUAUGUUGACUGCCCAUAAGUGAAGUAAUUAACAAAAUGCAUAAAUAACUGCACUCCAGUAAGGUUUAGUUAGGAUACAACAUGACAUAUUUAGACAAUUUAGUUAGGGUCACCAUUACUUCUUAAUUUUUAGAUUUUAGUUUAGCUGCACUUUCAUACCAAGCGGAAUAUCACAACAUACUAGGUUUGAUUUAACAUGAUAACUCAAUUCAAAUGAAUUUAAUUUAAUUGGUCUUGAACCUUAAUUCUUAGCAUACUGUAUAGAGGCCCACCCAAUAUUGUGUACUUGGCAGCACCAUGUGCAUUUUGCUACAGCAUUUAAAACAUCCGCUACUACUUGUUUUUGAGUGCAAAAAAUAUCUAUGAAACAAUAACAAACAUGUAAACAUUUGUUUAAACUUCCACUGACUAAACAGACUUUGAAUUUUGAACUACUGUAUUUAUCUGCAAAAUAAACUCCACCUGGGCAGUUUUUUGCUAAAAACAAUCUAUUUGAGUGUGUUAUGUAUGUAUAUAUUGUUUGUUUUCUAUUUGGAUUUUUUAGAAGGGAACUGGAAGACAGCCAAGGAAAAUAAACAAGAUCUUAUUAACCACACUAAUGUGAAUUGUCAGAGAUGUGGUAAAAAGAAGAGAAGUUUUGUACCUGUUUCCAGUUGUUCACUGGGUUUAAAUAAAAUCUUCUUGGCAUGGUAUGUGGCCAGUGAACAUUGUCAUGAUUUAUAAUUGCACUCACUGUCAUCCAGGAUGGUCACCAUCAAAGAGGCUCCAUACAAUAAGGAAGAUCUUAAACGUCAGAAGUGUUAGUUUUUUGGUUAAGCUAGCUAGUUAGCUACCUAAAGCUUAUCUAACUACGAUAAUACACCACAAGAAAGCUGCCCCUCCAAUAGAAUGUACGGUUUGAAUGUGAGUGGAUUUUGAUGAAUACGUCGACGAUCUUACUUGCAUGAGCUAGCUAGCUAGUGACAACCACAAAAACUAAUAUAUGGAUGACGUGUAAAAAAAACUUGUUUCUUUCAACUCGAGCUAUCCUUGAGCAAAAUGCUGUUUCAUCGUAUAUAUAUACUUUUAGUGAGAGAUUUGAUAGCUUAGCAAUUACUUCUCCGAAGAGAUACGAUCCGUAUAAACAAACGCAUUCUGAGAAGCCAUAUUGAAAAUCAUUUUGUGUAAAGUACCGAACACGAUUUUUUAUGUAUGUUAUUGUUUAACACGUGUAAGACAAUGUAAAACAUACCGUACAAACUUGAUGUAUAAUACACAGGCGCCUUGAAGGCGAUUCAGCGA